Paramormyrops kingsleyae is the source of this 4016-nucleotide long non-coding RNA. RefSeq lists it as uncharacterized. The record is from RefSeq and is a predicted model, not a curated record. Lineage: Eukaryota; Metazoa; Chordata; Actinopteri; Osteoglossiformes; Mormyridae.
UAUUGCUAUGCUAAGACUGGGACUUAAACUAGUGACCUCCUGAAGCUUAAUGUGCUGAGCCACACACACCCCUGAAACAGCCCCCUCCUAAAUGAACCCAUCUCACAGUUUCUUCACAAUUCCCUAUGAUAAAUAUAAUUAUAUUAGACGCUUCGUUUUACCUAGGAUGACUCAUCACCUAACGCAUCACACUUCAGGGACUCUAACCCCGCCCCUUCUGUGUGUGGCUGUGACAUGCUCAUUGUGUUCCUCCGACCCAAUCCAAAAACAUCCCCUUAGAUGAUCUGCUGUCUCUGAAUGGCUUGCAAAUUUCCGGAGAGAUGGUACAAUAAUGAGAAAGAAAGAAAAAUUAUAUUGGUUAUAGACUCACUUUAACUUUCGCCCAAUUAAAGGCUGUUCAGUCCUUUUUUUCCAGAUGAAUAACAUUUAAGUUCUUCAGCUCUGCGAUUCCCGGAUGUCAUCUAUCGCAUACUUAAAGCUAAACACCCCUUUCUUAGUUAAAUAUGUAAAUGCGCUGAAUUCCCGGAGCUCGUCGGCCUUACUCACUCUUUCGAGAAAAGGGUUUUAAUCGUGUUUUAUUAUUUUUCCUUUAUGAAUGCUUUGAAUAACAUACAGCAGGAAGGCAGGUCUUGCCAAUCCCGACGCCCAGUCUCCAUGGGCGGAGUUUGGGGGGCUGGCAUUGCACAUGUUGUGCACUUUGCACCAUUGCAUGGUCGGCCUGUUGGAAUCCUAUAGGUAGACAAAAUGAUAGUUUACGUGUGCAUCAGAUACAUGCGUUAACAUAUAUAAGGAGGGAAAACCGAACAAAUGGCAGAAACUUCAGAAACGGUUCUUGAAAUGCACGAAUCGCUUUUCGGAAUUUAAAAGUAUAUAUAGGGACGUGAUCAUACAUAUAAACUUAAACAUCUCCGAUUAAAGGUGUUGAUAAAUCUGGUCUGCUUUUUCCCCAGCAUAAAACUAUUAGGUACGGACGUGAUAUCCCCAUAAUCUACAACAUCCAAGGUAAUAUUGUAUAUGCUGCCCCACAAAAUCAAUGUACUUUGAUUUAAACACACUUACGUGCACAUAGGCCUACUCUGAAUACAACAGAAUUGUAUCCUAAAAUAAUACUGCAUCGCAUUUAACCUGAACACCAAAGCUGAAGUUAUUUGCUUUGUAAUUUGAGCGUUUUCUGUGGCUAUCAUUGUCUCGUAAAAUUAUUAAUCUUGUCCCCUUUUGCCGUCACCUUGGCCCUUCCGAUGGGGGAAUGGGGGGUCCCGCCAAAUGCCUGCCAUUAAAGCCCCCUCCUCUUCCUCUUCUCUAAGCUAAGCGGGGAUCCGGUCACAGCUGUAACCUGCCUCUCGGCUGUGACACGUUGUCGUGGUAACCGGAGCCUCGUGGGGUGGGGGGUGGUGGUGGUAUUAUUUUAGUUUAUACCACCGCACUGUCGAAUUCUACAUUCUCAAGGGGGUUGAUUAAUUUUCUAUAACCGCACACGUAGUGCCGGCCAGGCAAAUCACAGUAAUAAAUCAAUGCGCGAUUAUAAUCUUUUAUUCUAACAUUAUUUAACAGAAACUAUAAAAGGGAAGAGUCACUUAGACACAACGCACUUAGACAUCAGAAGUGCUUCAGGCUGAGGACCAGUAUCUGUGGUCAGUGAUUAAAUACCAAAAUGAUUUACUGAUGUAAUGCACUUGUGAUACAGUCAUAUUUUACAGUUCUGUUUCACCUGCCUAAACAAUGUGGUACACAUAGUCAGUAAACGCUAAGUAAGUCCAGGUUUACCUAUAAUGCUGCUGAAUUCCAGGUGGCACCUGGAGCUAAAUCAAUAAAGUAAUGACUGUGGUCACUUUAUUAGGUACACCUGUUCAACUGCUUGUCGAAGCAAUUAUCUAAUCAGGUAAUCAUAUGUCAGCAGCACAGUGUAUAAAAUCAUGCAGAUACAGGUCUGGAGCUUUAGUUAAUCCAUCCAUCCAUCCAUCCAUUUUCUGUAACCGCUUAUCCUAUUCAGGAUCGCUGGGGGUCCGGAGCCUAUCCUGGGGGUUACGGGCACAAGGUGGAGAAUAACCCAGGACAGUUAAUGUUCACAUUAAACUCCGGAAUUUGGAAGAAAGGUGAUUUUAGUGACUUGGAACGUGGCAUGAUUGAUGGUGUCAGGUAACCAUGCCGAUUCAAGCUUUUCAAAACAUGACAGUAACUCACAUAAUCACUCGUUACAACCGAGGUAUGCAGAUGAGCAUCUCUGAAUGGACAGCAAGUCGAACCUUGCAGCAGAUGGGCUACAGGGUCAGCUAAGAACAGGAAACUUAGGCUACAGUGGGCACAGGCUCACCAAAACUGGACAAUGGAAGGUUGGAAAAACGUUGCCUGGUCAGACGAGUCUCAAUUUCUGCUGCGACAUUCAGACGAUAGGGUCAGAAUUUGGGGUAAACAACAUGAAAGCUUAGAUCCAUCCUGCCUUGUGUUAACAAUUUAGGCUGAUGAUGGUGUAUUAUUAAUAAUAAUAGAUGCUUUAUUGAUCCACAUGGGGAAAUUCUCUUCUCAGCUCCCCCCAUCUUGCUCUCCAGCAGAGCAAGCAUGGCCGUGAAAGGCAACCAUUGACUGGGGCAACCAGGGAGUUGGGGGUUAAUGGUCUUGCUCAAGGACCCUAAGAUACUGUACACCUAGGCUGGGCUUGAAUCAACAACCUUCUGAUCAUAGGCCCACUGAGCCACUCACUGGUGUGGGGGAUAUGUUCUCGUCACACUUUGGGACCCUUACUACCAACUGAUCAUCAUUUAAAUGCCAUAGCCUGCCUGAGUAGUGUUGCUGACUAUGUUCAUCCCUUUAUGACCACAGGGUACCCAAGCACCUUGUUGGAUCUAUGCCAUGAGGAUUAAGGCAGUUCUGAAGGGAAAAGGGAGUCCAAACCUUUACUAGCAAGGUGUACCUAAUAAAGUGGCUGACAUACUUUUAAAGACGUAUGACCAGGGAUGGACAUAACUGGUACGCAAGCACGCAUUCACCUUUAAAAGCGAUACGUGCGGCAAUCGAUUGUUGCAACAGCAUCAAUGCAACAUUUUCCAAAUUCCAGGUGCUGAAGUGUUGUCCCAACACCUUCUGCAGUGAGUCAUCGAGGGCUGAUUUUUGCUCAGAUCGCCUCUUCACAGGGGGCAUGUGGAACUCCAGCUUCAUGAACUUUCAACAUGACAGUGAGUCAUCGAGGGAGGUAGUGAGAGAGCAGUCAAAGAAACAAUUUUGGGAUGUAGCCUACGUGAAUUUAAAAUUUAAUUGCUGAAUCAGGUGUGUUUACAGGGGCGGCUGAUAGCUGAUUGGCCCCUGUAGUGCCUCCUCCUCUGUCACUCAACGAUUCAAAACAGAUCAUUGGAUAAUGAUAAGGUUGGCCCCUUUAUAUAAAUUAUGGAGCCUCUUAUGCAUCCUACCUUAAGAAACUCCUAGUAUUGCCCCAGGGCUGAAUGUACGUGGUACCAUCUUCCAUUUAGGAUCUCAGUUUCCUUGGUAAACCUGGCUAACAGCAGUCAGCUUCGUCUGACCACAGGGAAACGGCAUCUGAUUGGUGGAUGGAAUUUAACAUUUUGCUGUUUGGCGAAGUGGAUGAAUAAUAAAUGGAAUUUGACGCAGUGAUACUGUAAACAUCUCGAUUGAUUUCAACCACCCCCCCCCCAAAAAAAAACACCUCAGUGGACCAUACCAGCUCUAUAAGACAGUUUUGACCUUUUUCGAGGAGGAAGAUGUCAAAUAUAGUUUAUGCGCUCUUGCUUUCAUUCAAGCAUUUACAUUUUUUCAUUACCAUCAUUUUCCAAUUAACUCAGCAUGCCUGUAGGGUUUUGGAAAAGAAUUACAAAGAUGUCGUGAUGAGGUGAUGCGUGACGUGGCUGGUGAGCAGGGUCGCAGGGUGCUCUGACCGUAGGGAGUGACAAUCUGUCAGUCCUCUGCAGGAUGCAUGGAAUUAACAAGUUCCACACAGACGUGCCCUGCAUCUGCCUUGGGGCCAUAUGUGGCUUAGCAGGUUGGGAUGCUGUUCUCGUUGUUGGAAG